ACUCCGGCAGCUCAAGUGGUAGAGCAGCGGUCUCCAAAACCGCAGGUUGCAGGUUCGAGCCCUGCCUGGAGUGCCA
This 76-nucleotide transfer RNA is filed under the name Faecalibacterium prausnitzii. RNAcentral's name for it is "tRNA-Trp". It matches the Rfam family "tRNA". Rfam says of the family: Transfer RNA (tRNA) molecules are approximately 80 nucleotides in length. The record is from RNAcentral. Lineage: Bacteria; Bacillati; Bacillota; Clostridia; Eubacteriales; Oscillospiraceae. RNAcentral also lists the same sequence under 2 other names.